UACGUAGGGUGCAAGCGUUAAUCGGAAUUACUGGGCGUAAAGCGUGCGCAGGCGGUUGUGCAAGUCCGAUGUGAAAUCCCCGGGCUUAACCUGGGAAUGGCAUUGGUGACUGCACGGCUGGAGUGUGUCAGAGGGGGGUAGAAUUCCACGUGUAGCAGUGAAAUGCGUAGAGAUGUGGAGGAAUACCGAUGGCGAAGGCAGCCCCCUGGGAUAACACUGACGCUCAUGCACGAAAGCGUGGGGAGCAAACAGG
Molecule: ribosomal RNA, 253 nt
Filed under: uncultured bacterium
Lineage: Bacteria
Description: partial 16S ribosomal RNA
Rfam family: Bacterial small subunit ribosomal RNA
Source: RNAcentral